RNAcentral lists this ribosomal RNA (545 nucleotides) under Bifidobacterium animalis subsp. lactis. RNAcentral describes it as "bacterial SSU rRNA". It matches the Rfam family "Bacterial small subunit ribosomal RNA", at positions 162 to 707 of the family's 1533-position model. Lineage: Bacteria; Bacillati; Actinomycetota; Actinomycetes; Bifidobacteriales; Bifidobacteriaceae. The record is from RNAcentral.
GGUAAUACCGGAUGCUCCGCUCCAUCGCAUGGUGGGGUGGGAAAUGCUUUUGCGGCAUGGGAUGGGGUCGCGUCCUAUCAGCUUGUUGGCGGGGUGAUGGCCCACCAAGGCGUUGACGGGUAGCCGGCCUGAGAGGGUGACCGGCCACAUUGGGACUGAGAUACGGCCCAGACUCCUACGGGAGGCAGCAGUGGGGAAUAUUGCACAAUGGGCGCAAGCCUGAUGCAGCGACGCCGCGUGCGGGAUGGAGGCCUUCGGGUUGUAAACCGCUUUUGUUCAAGGGCAAGGCACGGUUUCGGCCGUGUUGAGUGGAUUGUUCGAAUAAGCACCGGCUAACUACGUGCCAGCAGCCGCGGUAAUACGUAGGGUGCGAGCGUUAUCCGGAUUUAUUGGGCGUAAAGGGCUCGUAGGCGGUUCGUCGCGUCCGGUGUGAAAGUCCAUCGCCUAACGGUGGAUCUGCGCCGGGUACGGGCGGGCUGGAGUGCGGUAGGGGAGACUGGAAUUCCCGGUGUAACGGUGGAAUGUGUAGAUAUCGGAAAGAGAAC